Molecule: long non-coding RNA, 3046 nt
Organism: Nymphaea colorata (pocket water lily)
Lineage: Eukaryota; Viridiplantae; Streptophyta; Magnoliopsida; Nymphaeales; Nymphaeaceae
Exons: 5
Source: RefSeq, a predicted model, not a curated record
UGGCGCAGUCUGCGCCGUGCGUUGUCGAAGACCAAAAAUAUUUUAUCGACUGGCAAUCACUCUUUCUGGCGCGACGGUGAACUACAAUGAGCGUGCAAAACCAAACGGCAGAGAAAAGAAACGUUUUGCGCGGGACAGCUUCGUUUCUUCUUUUCUGUCCCCGCCUUGUUCUGCACGACGAUUCAGCUGCUGAAAGAAAGGGGUUUCGUCGCCAUACAGGGGGCGGAGAAGAGGGUCUGCGCCGUCGUGGAUGGUCGUAGCUGUCGUUGAGGAUUGCUGGUCCUGUCGUUCUGGGGUUUUCAAAACCCAAGCAACCCAAUGAUGCGGAGAAUCCGGGGAGCCGUCGACGGCGAUCAUGGAGUGGAAAGCACCUACUGAGUACUGAGUCGCUGGAACGUUGGUGGAUGGUCGACAGAGGUGAGACCGUUGGCAGGUCAGGAGGAUAUCUGUUCUCAUUGCAGUCGUCUUCAAGGAGACAGUCACCUUUAAGAAGAAGCAUACGGCGGCACAGGCCACUACCGCCAAGCUUCCCUAACCCGCUUCUUCCUGACGAGGCUGGUGUAGGCCGUUCCUUUUUAGCUUUUCUCGCGUGGUUAUUACGUUGUUGUUGUAACGGAAUGGGGUUGGAUGGUGGAGGGUUCUGUGUGAUUUUUCAUUUAUUUUCUGAAAUCAUGAGUCCCAUUUUCUUAGAUGAAUUAUUUGUUUUGGUUCUAACAUGUAUCAGUUUUUUAUUACUAACGCCUGCUACAGAAUGCCAGCUGCUAUGGGGGGACGCACUUUUUCAAUUUAGAUUGCUUGUUACUCGAGGUGCUGGUUUUGACUUUCAGAAUGUACAUGGUGUUGAAUAGUUUGAAGUGUGCUAGCUAUCUUUUGACCAACUGUAGGGUGCAGGAUCCUUGUAGACUUGUAGUUGUGUCUGGUUAGCAUGGGUGCGUCAGGAAUGAAGAAGAUCAGCGCCGCUAUAGAUAUUUUUUUUGUUCCAUUCUGUUGAUUAUGUGGCAAUCUCCCCUUUGAUGGUGGUGUUGAUUAAGUAGACGAGAGCCAGUUAUGGAAUUGGCUGGACCCGAUUAGCUAUUGACGGGAGAGAGUAAGAACAUGAGAAGAUGGUUGAUGUAGGGUUCUCUUUCUUGAUUCCAAGUUUCCUGCUUUUCUGAAAGUAUUUGUAUAUCUUGUCAUGGGCAACUUUAGAACAAUAUUGUAGCCUCCGAUGAAACAGAAACAUGAAGAUAUUUUAUUUUCAUCCAUAACUAAUUGGAUUUAUGUGCAACUACCUUUAUUUCGGAAACCUUUGAGCAUUUUAUUCGUAUAUUGUCCAGAGUUAGACAUAGGCAUUCACUAAUCUCUCUCUCUACGCAUGCAGAUGGACGGGUGAAGAAGUCAUGAUGAAGCAAAGUUAACUCAUCAAACGUGCAAUUAUCAUGAUUUUUAUUCACUCAUAAAAACAUGAAAUAGGUGUUCAUUUUGUGGGUCAAAAUUAAAGGGCAAUUGUUCCUUCAGUGAUGUAUCAAUGGGCAUCUCUGUAUAAAUCUGUGCAUGAGAGCUUCUGUUUUUUAAUCAAAGAUUGAAAAGAUUGCACACUAUGGUUCUAAAGAUUGAAAUUUGGCAAGGUCAUUCUUUUUCUUGUUAUAUGCAUAUGAUAGCUUAUUUCAUGAUUAUAAUGUUGUUUGACUUAGGAAUUAUGCGUUUGUAGUUCUUUUGCAGUGUUAUGAUAUGCUGUCUAACUCUUUGCUGUUGGUAUUACGUUUUAGAGAGGCAGUACAAGGUCUAGUUGGGGAAGAGUUGCUUGUUUGAUUCUCUGCUUCGAGAGAGAUGAAUUCAUGGCUUUGUAGUUUGUCUCCCUUAAUGUUUUUUGUGUCCCAAGAACAGAGAAAUGGCUGGCUGAAUUAUGAGAAGCAUGUGUUGAUUUUUAUUUUGAUGAGCAGGUUGAUGAUCAUUUUUUGAAGGCUGCUUCUUUUGAAUAUCACCAUGAGGUAGAACUUGCCAUGGAAUUCGUUGUUGAUGAGGUGCUGGCACGUUUGAGUUUGGAUAGUGAUCAUACAGAUGGUCUAAGUAGGUCAUGUUUUGCAACUGGAGGAAAAUGAUCAUUUGCUAGUCCUCAUCGCUACAUUUGGUGUUGAUUUGGGCUCUAAGCAUGACAAUAGGUGUUGAUUUGCCUCAAAGCAUGCACAGACAGCUGCUACAGCUGUUUCAGGAAAACGUGGUUUUCAGGCAAAGUGGAUGGCAGAGUACCCUCAUUUAUAAUCUCUUCAGAGGUUUUGAGUGUCAAGUGUCAACCAGCUCACGGACUUUGUUAUUUAACACUACGGUUUCUCUUUAUUAAGAUUCUGGAAGCGGCUCAUCAAGUUGCUAGUUUUACUGUUUCUACAGCACUUAUAUCAUAUGAUUAGAUGAAGACCAAUGCGAAGCACUCAUAACUGGGAUACAGCAGAAGAUGUUAGCGCUUAUGAGUUUUAAGCAUCAAGAGAAUGUGUUGUCUAUUGGGUUAUCCUCAGAUGCCGAUAGCAACAAAACAAUCAUAAUCAAAGUAGAAACAUAUAGAAGAAUAAAAAGUAGGAUCUACAUGAAUAUAGCCAUGUAUUUGACUCAUUUUUCUCCACUACCAUGAAAACAUUAUAGAAACCAAUGGAUCUGCCUAAAUUAUGCUCUUGAUUGGCUACAAAUGACCAUAACCAGCCCAGCUUUCUCUCUUGUUCUACUGAAUAUCUGCAGUCAUUUUAAGUUACCGCCUGGAAGCCCCUAUGAUAAGUUCUUGAAAGCUGCAAGACUGUUUGUGUAGUGCAUAUGAUGCUGCACUCCUUGGGAUGUUAGGAAUUUGAAAAUGUCGCCUAUUGACAUUUUUCUACCGGUCCGGCUUUGUGUAUUUACUCGUGAUAUCAACAAGGCAAUUCUGAUCAGUGAUGCCAUGGAAAUAGGGAUGGCCCAGAUAAAUUCAGCAGAUUUUGCUAAUGUGUCUAUUCUUGGUGAUUUUGUUAUUCUUAUAUGUUUUAAUUUUCAAUAUGAUUUGUAGUAAACUUUUUUAUUUCUUAUUAAGUGCAAAUGAAAAGUA